RNAcentral lists this long non-coding RNA (366 nucleotides) under Homo sapiens (human). RNAcentral's name for it is "USP3 antisense RNA 1". The record is from RNAcentral. Lineage: Eukaryota; Metazoa; Chordata; Mammalia; Primates; Hominidae.
CCAGCAGAGGUGGGCUGGACACUGCUCCUGGCAAAGCUGGCCGGGAAGAUGCAGCCCGUGGGACACUCCCCACCACCACUCUCACAGUCUGACUGACUGCGAAGCUUCACAGACCAGAAGGUUCAUUCCUCACAAGAAAAGGAAAACCCUGGUCUGAUACUACUGUUCUGAAAUUUAACAGCCAGUUGGGUCCAGCAGCUUUGCCUCUCUACCCUUUUAUCACCAAAGUAUACUGCUGAGAAAGAAUCAAAUGAAAAGAAAAAAGACUCAACAAGACCUCACUCAUAUUAACUGGACUCUACAAGCAGUGAGCAUCCAGACCUGCAUUUGGUUACAAAAGAAGCCUUCAAGCUAUUUUCAUCAGCU